CGAGAAGAUUAAGAAAGAGAAAGAACGCUUGAGGGCUUCUACUCGCCAGGGGACAAUCCGUCUUCGUGGGAAGCAGAACCGGCAGGGCCUGAGUGCCCCCUGCCAAGAGUCCAGCAGUGACAGCGAGGAGGAGGAGGAGGAACAGGCCAGAAUCAAUUCGUCAGACAGUGAUGAAGGAUCAGAAGAAGAAAAGCCUCAAGGAUUACUGAGAGCAAAGCAACUCACCAGUGAUGAGGUGAACCCUACAGAAGCAGGAAAGCAGGGAGAGAAGAGAAAGAUGACAGACGCAUAAAACCUGCACUCAUUGUCUGUAUUGUUUUCAACAGUUUGUUUUUUAAUAUAUAUAUUUUUAAUUGAUUUCAGAGAGGAAUGGAGAGGGAAAGAUAGAAACAUCAAUGAUAAGAGAGAAUCCUUGAUUGGCUGCCUCCUGUACGCCCCCUACUGGGGAUCGAGUCCACAACCAGGCAUGUGCCCUUGACCGGAAUCAAACCCGGGACUCUUCAGUCCGCAGGCCAACACUCUAUCCAAACUGGC
Molecule: long non-coding RNA, 534 nt
Organism: Eptesicus fuscus (big brown bat)
Lineage: Eukaryota; Metazoa; Chordata; Mammalia; Chiroptera; Vespertilionidae
Exons: 4
Source: RefSeq, a predicted model, not a curated record